GUAUAGACCCGAAACCCGUUGAUCUAGCCAUGCGCAGGAUGCAGGUUGGGUAACACUAACUGGACGACCGAACCGACUAAUGUUGACACAUCAGCGGAUGACCUGUGGCAGGGGGUGAACGGCCAAUCAAACCAGGAGAUACCUGGUUCUCCCCGAAAGCUAUGUAGGUAGCGCAUCGCGAAUCCAUCUCCGGAGGUAGAGCACUGUCCCGGCUAGGCGGCCAU
Molecule: ribosomal RNA, 224 nt
Filed under: Salmonella enterica subsp. enterica serovar Enteritidis
Lineage: Bacteria; Pseudomonadati; Pseudomonadota; Gammaproteobacteria; Enterobacterales; Enterobacteriaceae
Description: partial 23S ribosomal RNA
Rfam family: Bacterial large subunit ribosomal RNA
Source: RNAcentral